UCCGGUGGUAUGAGAUGGACCCGCGUCUGAUUAGGUAGUUGGUGGGGUAACGGCCUACCAAGCCGACGAUCAGUAGCCGACCUGAGAGGGUGACCGGCCACAUUGGGACUGAGACACGGCCCAAACUCCUACGGGAGGCAGCAGUGGGGAAUAUUGCACAAUGGGGGAAACCCUGAUGCAGCGACGCCCGCGUGAGCGAUGAAGUAUUUCGGGUAUGUAAAGCUCUAUCAGCAGGGAAGAAAAUGACGGUACCUGACUAAGAAGCACCGGCUAAAUACGUGCCAGCAGCCGCGGUAAUACGUAUGGUGCAAGCGUUAUCCGGAUUUACUGGGUGUAAAGGGAGCGUAGACGGAGUGGCAAGUCUGAUGUGAAAACCCGGGGCUCAACCCCGGGACUGCAUUGGAAACUGUCAAUCUAGAGUACCGGAGAGGUAAGCGGAAUUCCUAGUGUAGCGGUGAAAUGCGUAGAUAUUAGGAGGAACACCAGUGGCGAAGGCGGCUUACUGGACGGUAACUGACGUUGAGGCUCGAAAGCGUGGGGAGCAAACAGGAUUAGAUACCCUGGUAGUCCACGCCGUAAACGAUGACUACUAGGUGUCGGGCAGCAAAGCUGUUCGGUGCCGCAGCAAACGCAAUAAGUAGUCCACCUGGGGAGUACGU
This 659-nucleotide ribosomal RNA is filed under the name uncultured bacterium. RNAcentral describes it as "bacterial SSU rRNA". It matches the Rfam family "Bacterial small subunit ribosomal RNA", at positions 211 to 885 of the family's 1533-position model. The record is from RNAcentral.